CAGUGGCGGACGGGUGAGUAACACGUGGGAAUCUACUGAGUAGUGGGGGACAGCCCGGCGAAAGCCGGAUUAAUACCGCAUACGCCCUAGGGGGGAAAGGCGCAAGCCGCUAUUCAAUGAGCCCGCGUAAGAUUAGCUAGUUGGUAAGGUAAAGGCUUACCAAGGCGACGAUCUUUAGCUGGUCUGAGAGGAUGGCCAGCCACAUCGGGACUGAGACACGGCCCGGACUCCUACGGGAGGCAGCAGUCGGGAAUAUUGGACAAUGGGCGCAAGCCUGAUCCAGCAAUACCGCGUGUGUGAAGAAGGCCUGCGGGUUGUGAAGCACUUUCAGUUGGGAAGAUAAUGACGUUACCAACAGAAGAAGCACCGGCUAACUCCGUGCCAGCAGCCGCGGUAAUACGGAGGGUGCAAGCGUUAAUCGGAAUUACUGGGCGUAAAGCGUGCGUAGGCGGUUACUUAAGUCAGAUGUGAAAUCCCCGGGCUCAACCUGGGAACUGCAUCUGAUACUGGGUGACUAGAGUGUGGGAGAGGAGAGUGGAAUUUCCGGUGUAGCGGUGAAAUGCAUAGAGAUCGGAAGGAACAUCAGUGGCGAAGGCGACUCUCUGGACCAACACUGACGCUGAGGCACGAAAGCGUGGGUAGCAAACAGGAUUAGAUACCCUGGUAGUCCAUGCCGUAAACGAUGUCAACUAGCCGUCAG
Molecule: ribosomal RNA, 700 nt
Filed under: uncultured Gammaproteobacteria bacterium
Lineage: Bacteria; Pseudomonadati; Pseudomonadota; Gammaproteobacteria
Description: bacterial SSU rRNA
Rfam family: Bacterial small subunit ribosomal RNA
Source: RNAcentral